Molecule: unclassified non-coding RNA, 2102 nt
Filed under: Hevea brasiliensis (rubber tree)
Lineage: Eukaryota; Viridiplantae; Streptophyta; Magnoliopsida; Malpighiales; Euphorbiaceae
Source: RNAcentral
CUUGAGCUAUGUCUAAUCAAUGUAACACUUGUUAUAUGGCAUUCUGGCUCAAUUGGUGCAUCGAGAACCUUUACAUGAAUGGAAUCAGUUAAAGGUAGUUCCUGAGCUGAACAGACGUACAAUUAAUGCAUGGGAAAAAAAAGGAUGGUGUCUAAUAAGUUAGGGUGCAAUUAAGUACUGUAAUUUGUAGCUCAAGUGGAACACUGUAUUGCAACAAGAUGGAUUAGAUGUGGGUUCUGGACAAUGAUUCUAAUGUCAAUGUCUUUAAUAUGGAACAUCAAUUUGUACCACAAAAUGUAGAUGUCAAUGUUGAUCUCAAAUUCUAUUUGCAAUUUAGAGUGUUAUUACUUGCUUCACAUGUGAAUGCAUGCACAUAGGAUGAUGUCACAAACAUGCAUAAUUUGUUUGGCUGUAUGCAACCAAUGUAUCUGCAAUAUUCAGGAUAAAUUUUUGAUGUGUAUACCAGAAUAUUGAGUGAUAUGGUGUCAAGAUGGAAUAUAAUAGGAUUUUGUAUCACAAGAAUGUGAUAUCGUAAGGCAUGACUUUGGAUUGACGUAUAGUCUUUUUAGGAAAGUUGAGAGUCAGAUUCAUAAUUGGAUUUGGGUUUUGAGAGCAUGAUAAAGAGCAUAGAGCUAUACUUUGAGUGAAUGAGCUUAUUGCGACAUUUCUAUGUCACUCUUUAUUGAGGAUGGGCAUCUGUCAUUGACAUGAUUCAGCUGAAGUGAGCUCUCGUUUAAUGUUUGAAGUUCAUGAUUAAUUAUAUGGGCUUAAUUUCACCCAUGGUGAUGGAACUUAUUGUGGAUUUCAGCAUAUCAAAUUCAAUUUGUAUCAACAAAGUCUCCCUACUGUAAUUUUAUUUCGAUAAGAACGCUUUUGCUAGAAUUUUAGCCAGAUUUUUGACAUUAUGACCGAUUGAAAAUUUUCUAAUUGAGCUCUUUGGGAUAAGCUUUGUGUUAUUUACUUACAUAUAUAAUUUGGCUAAAUUUGUACAAACAUUUAGUAAUAGUGACCUCAUUGAAAAGAAUCAAAGUUUUAACUUUUUAAGUAAUUUCGCUAAUAUAAUUUGAAAUUCAAUGACCAACUGAAUUUUAGUGACAUUUUAAAUGAUCACGAGUGAAAUUAACCCAAUUAUUUGUGCUGAAAAUAGUGAUUGAAAGUGGCUUCAUCUUCUGACAAUUGUUGGCUUGAGUUUUUUUGUGACUUUGUGAUAAAUUUAUGGUUUGAUUAACUGUUUGGGUGAGUUUCAAGAAUGACUUAGUGAAUUUAAGUGGGUUUGAAGGGGAAAAUGAUGAAUUUUGAUGGUGAUCAUUUACCCUUUGAAAAGACAGCAAGUGGGAUGAUGCUUAGGUUGAUGAUCUGAAAUGGGGUUGGUUAAAUAAUUGUUUUUCCCUGGUUUAUCUUAGUUAUAAAGCUGCAUGUUCCAAUUUUGGCCUUGGUAGACACAACUCAGGCAGUGCACCUUGCCUAGGGAAAUGGUAGGGCUAGUUUCUAUUAAUUGGUUUAUUUCAGUAAGAGAUUAGUUGCUAUUGUGUAGCUCGGGUUGGUAUUGGGAAUGGAAGGAAUAUACUUGAGUCUUUAAUCCAUGGAACCUUUGAGAUCAAACUUGAGCUUACCCUGAUUCUCGCCUUCUUUUUUUCUUUUUCUUUUUAAUUUUUUUUUAAGUUUUUGUUGUUUUGUACUAUGCCAGUUGUGUUUCAUGGAAGGCUGCACUUGAGAUUGGAUUCCCCAUGUUUCUCUGAAGAAUUUAUUGCCAUGUCCCUUCUUGAUUUCCUAAACAACUUAACCACACAUAGGCUUGUGUAUUCUGACUUGCUUCCCUUUCUUGUUCAUCCUCAUUCAGUUUCAUUUAUUAAAAGAUAAAAACAGAAAUGGACUAUUAUGACAAGACACAAGAAGCUGCAUUGCAAGCAAAUGCCAAACCUGUUUUGGUUAUGUGCUUUAACCUGCGUAACUGCUUCAAAACCUCAAUUUUUGGAUUAUCAAUUCACUCUCCCAUCACUUUAGCCUAGGCAUUAUUAUUUUGAUAACAAUCUCUUGAGCAGUUAAGAGGGAACUUAUAUUGUAUAUUUUACUUGUAUAGGGCCGAUUUGAGAUACUAUGCU